This 594-nucleotide long non-coding RNA is filed under the name Olea europaea subsp. europaea. Lineage: Eukaryota; Viridiplantae; Streptophyta; Magnoliopsida; Lamiales; Oleaceae. The record is from RNAcentral.
CUCCAAGGCUCAAGUAAUCAAAACCCACUUAACGCAUUUCCUUUCUUGCUUGAUCAGGCGAUGAACAAAAGACCUUGUAAAGUGCACCUGCCAAUGAGUUUAUAAUAGACGCCACAGGCUGCAAAAGAACGUUUGAUUUCUCAAGUUUUUGUGGAAAUUUAAAACUAAUCUUUUUGAGGUCCAAUCUAAUAUCUCGCCUUUCUAAUGGUAUAGAAGGAUUCAGGAUACUCACAAAGGGUAAAUCUGUCAUGUUGAAGGCGUCCCCUUGUAUGUAGAUCAAUGAUCAAAUUUGGUUACUGAUUUGGUUGAAUCUCUGAUUGUACACUCUGCAUUAGCGACUGGCUUAAUUCUGAGACCCCCCAAAUUAGGCUUUGUCGAACUGGGUGAAAAAUCUCUUGUGUUCAUUUGCUGCUUUGGGGUUGAUUGUUUUUAUCAUUUCUGAUGUUGAUUCAAAUUUGAGGGUUAAAUAUCCAAUACUCCUUGUAGGACACCUGGGGUGGGCUGAGGAUCUGCCGGCAUGCUUCUAUUUGGCAUUGUUCUUAUGUUUCCUUUGUCAAUUGCGGCAAGAAAUGCAUCAUACAGCUGAGUAGGAAU